This 440-nucleotide ribosomal RNA is filed under the name uncultured bacterium. RNAcentral describes it as "partial 16S ribosomal RNA". It matches the Rfam family "Bacterial small subunit ribosomal RNA", at positions 338 to 795 of the family's 1533-position model. The record is from RNAcentral.
CCUACGGGAGGCAGCAGUGAGGAAUAUUGCACAAUGGGGGAAACCCUGAUGCAGCGACGCCGCGUGAGUGAAGAAGUAUUUCGGUACGUAAAGCUCUAUCAGCAGGGAAGAAACUGACGGUACCUGACUAAGAAGCCCCGGCUAACUACGUGCCAGCAGCCGCGGUAAUACGUAGGGGGCAAGCGUUAUCCGGAUUUACUGGGUGUAAAGGGAGCGUAGACGGCAGCGCAAGUCUGGAGUGAAAUCCCAUGGCUUAACCAUGGAACUGCUUUGGAAACUGUGCAGCUAGAGUGCAGGAGAGGGAAGCGGAAUUCCUAGUGUAGCGGUGAAAUGCGUAGAUAUUAGGAGGAACACCAGUGGCGAAGGCGGCUUACUGGACUGUAACUGACGUUGAGGCUCGAAAGCGUGGGGAGCAAACAGGAUUAGAUACCCUAGUAGUC